UUGGUCACUUUUAUACGAUUCAUCAAGGACC
This 31-nucleotide non-coding RNA is filed under the name Mus musculus (house mouse). Lineage: Eukaryota; Metazoa; Chordata; Mammalia; Rodentia; Muridae. The record is from RNAcentral.